GUAUCCAGUAGUUUGGAAGUUAAUUGACAGUCCAAAAACCGUUGAAAUAUCUGUAUCGUCCAAGAAAGGAUUGUUGCUUCUCACCCACAUACCGAGAGUCGAAAGGGUUCAACCCCUUAAGCAACGGUAGCCUCUAUUUCAUCUAGACCCCUCCCUAUCCAGCAUAUAUCUCAAAAGUUAGUUGAAAUGUCAAGAUCUAUAUCUACAGAUACUGCUUGCUUGGGGAGAACUUUUAAAGAAGUCUCUAAGAAAAUCACCUUUUCUUGAAAUCACUGAGGUACCAGAGUGAUCAGGGUGUUUGACUGUGACGCCAAGGGUCGUGGGUUCGAAUCCCGCUUGGGGCUUUCCUCUCUGUGUUAGCUCUCUGAUGUGCGACGUGUGAAUGUGGACCUCCCUAUGGACCUGCAUCUGUGGCAGUAUGGUUCUGAUAAGUUGAUCGCCUCCAUGACUCAGAUUCACAUGUGUCCACCUGAUUAUGCGCUGUUUACUUUUUGACCUGAGAUAUAACAGGUGUUUACACGUAUUUUUCUUAGUUUGACUCAUUUAAAGGUAUG
This is a long non-coding RNA of Parasteatoda tepidariorum (common house spider), 554 nucleotides long. NCBI's taxonomy places the organism in Eukaryota, Metazoa, Arthropoda, Arachnida, Araneae, Theridiidae. The record is from RefSeq and is a predicted model, not a curated record.